UGUAAUUGUUAUUCGAUUUUCUUCCGGUAUUUAAUUUUUUUAUUUGUAAAAUUUGUAGUUUGAUAACGAUUAAUACUCGACCACAAUUAGUUUCUUAUCUAUUGGAUACGGGAUUUACAUCCAUGAAUGGCAUAUUCAAGGCCAAUUCCAUUGACCAGUUCUUUAUCUGUAAAGACAAAGCUAACUGUCGGUCAUAACAACAAAGACAUUGCCAAUCAAUAUAAGGGAUAUUAUCGUUACCCUUAUUUUCGUCCAAAUCGUGAAGAGUUCUAUGAUAUCUGUAUAUCUGAGUCGGAUAAUGUUAUUUCGAAUUUUGAAAAAUGGAAUAGAUACCGUCCAAUCAAUCAUUUCAUAGGAAAUCCAGAUUAUAAACAGUGGACACCGCAAGGAAGAUUAGGAACAUUUUUUAAUACAGUCGACAGGAAUAAAAUGCCGACAGAUAUGAUAUAUAAAAUUCAUAAACAAGGUUUUUAUUACGAAAACAAUUUGAAUAUCAUCAAAUGUCAUAAAUGUGAUUCUACUUAUUGCUCAGAUACAAUUGGAAAUAUAACACCAUGCCACUGGCCACAUUGUGACUAUGUAUGCGCAAGCAAAGACCGAUGUAGAACCAAUUCAAAUGACAAUUAUGAAACAAAAAUGACUCAAAAGCCGCUGUAUAAUGCCAGAAAUCAAACAAAUACAUCUGAUGCUCUGAUUCCAACUAUUAAACUCAGUAUGCAUUAUUGCAAAAAAACCAUACAGGGAUGGAAAAUUGAUGAUGAGGCAGGAAGAGAUAUUGCUAAAGAUAUGAAAGAAGCAAAGGCUACAUCAAAAAAGAUAAGUGACAUUAAGAACAGUAUGUGCAUUAGAUGUGGUAGUGAACCGCGUGGUAUAGUAUUUCAGAAUUGCUAUCACUGUGUGACUUGUUGUCGGUGUUCAGAAUGUAUAGAUUAUUGUCCAAAAUGCGAUGCCUACAUAAUGUGCAGAGUUAGCUUAGAUUCUGGGAAAUCAAUGUUUUAAUGUGACAGAUGCACAACAUUUUCUGCUCAAGUAAUAACUCAUGACUGUAAAAAUGCAGUAUUCUGUCAGCAAUGUUCACACUCCAUAGAUUUUUGUCCUCGAUGUGACAAUCCGAUUUGACACAAGAACUCUUAUAGAGUUUGUUAUUAUUUGUUUUCCAUUAAACUUUAAUCUCAGGUAUGGUGAUAUUAUAUACAAUAUAGGGUUUACUUAAAAGUGUGCAGCGGUCAAAUAUAAAUAAUUUAUAACAGUAUGUUGUGAUAUUAUAACAUUUGAUACGUUGUUUCGGGGCUUUUGUUUUUACUUAUGUGUUAAACGAUACUCAUUUGCCGUCUAUCAACCAUUUUUAAUUACUUUUAUUUUCCGUGAUUGAUAGUUUCUUAAUUUUUUUUCAAAUAUAGGUACUAGUAUCGCUUUGUGACUUUUUGAUUAAUAUCUUUUUGAAUCUACUGGUAACUAAAUGUUGUAUGUAAUGAAAAGUUAACGAUUUAAUUAUAUGAAGAAAAAUUGUUUCAAGGCAUAACAAUAGGAAGAUCUAUCCAAACAAUUUCAAUUUCACCAAUUGUCAAACAGAGGCGAAAGAUACCAAAAGUGUGCAAUUCAAGGAGCUAAAUACAAUAUAUGUGUCUAUGAUUAGGAAAAAUCAUAACAAGUUAAGUAAAAAAAAAUUGAAAUGUAGAUAAAGAAAAUCAUUACAUAAUUAAAAAAGUUCUUUAUUUACCAAACUAGCAGUAUUCUAACACACAGCGUCUGCACUACAUCCAGACGUAAGACAACUUGACCAACACGACUAUCCACAAUAAAGAGUUUGUUUCCUACAAAUAUAUCUAAGUGUCAUUAAUCCCACUCCCAAAUAAGAAAUAAAUCAAUGACUUGGAAUGUAUAAUGUUAUACAAAUGGUGAGACUUUAAUAAAAUAUUGAAUCUGAAUCUGAAUCUGAAUCUGACUGGUACAAUGUAAAUGAGUUUUCGUACACCUUCAAUUUGCUUAUAUUUACUAUAAUCUCCUAUUAACUGUACACUUGUUUGUUGGAGAUAAUUUAACUAAGUAAAGUUCAGGAUUAUUUAAACCUGGGCUUCUAGCAAAAUAGGUCUGUUUCAUCAUUUUUUGUUCAUGGUUGUCAAAAAUAACAUUUUUAUGAUAGAUUUUAAAAUACGUUUAGGAUAAAAUUGAGAAUGGAAAUGGGGAAUGUGUCAAAGAGACAACAACCCGACCAUAGAACAGACAACAGCAGAAGGUCACCAACAGGUCUUCAAUGCAGCGAGAAAUUCCCGCACCUGGAGGCGUCCUUCAGCUGGCCCCUAAACAAAUAUAUAUACUAGUUCAGUGAUAAUGAACGCCAUACUAAACUCCAAAUUGUACACAAGAAACUAAAAUUUAAAAUAAUACAAGACUAACAAAAACUAGAGGCUCCUGACUUGGGACAGGCGCAAAAAUGCGGCGGGGUUAAACAUUUUUAUGAGAUCUCAACCCUCCCCCUAUACCUCUAGCCAAUGUAGAAAAGUAAACGCAUAACAAUACGCACAUUAAAAUUCAGUUCAAGAGAAGUCCGAGUCUGAUGUCAGAUGUAACCAAAGAAAAUAAACAAAAUGACAAUAAUACAUAAAUAACAACAGACUACUAGCAGUUAACUGACAUGCCAGCUCCAGACUUCAAUUAAACUGAUUGAAAGAUUAUGUCUUCAUCAUAUGAAUAUCAGGCACAAUCCUUCCCGUUAGGGGUUUAGUAUCAUACCAUCAUAACAUAUAUGAGAAGAACAUAACACGUGUCAUGCCAACAACUGGUUUUUAAAUAAAUGUGUUUAGUGCCGAUGCAAAGACCCUAUAAGUGAAUCAAUAUUAACGCCAAAAUAUGCAAUCUUUAAUGACCUGACAACAGUAUCGUAACUAUAUCCCUUCUUAAUAAGUCUAUUUAAAGGUUUUGUUAGCUUCAGAGGUGAAUACUGACAUUUUUGUGCUUUAUAAAGAAUAUUUCCAUAAAAAAUUGGAUGUGAAAUACCUGAACGUAUAAGAAGUCUGCAUGUUGAGCUAUAUUUACGAAUGAUGUCCUUAUACCGAUGAUAAAAUUUAGUAAAUGUUUUGCCUAGUUUGUGAUAUCGAAAACCCUGGUGUAAUAAUUUUUCAGUAAUAUAUAAAUUUCUCUCGUUAAAAUCUAAAACAUUGUUACAUACACGAGCGAAUCGUACAAGUUGAGAUAUAUAAACACCGUAAGAUGGUGACAAGGGAACGUCACCAUCUAAAAAUGGAUAAUUAACGAUAGGAAAUGAAAAAUCAUCUCUUUUAUCAUAUAUUUUAGUAUUAAGCUUUCCGUUAAUGAUAUAGAUAUCAAGAUCGAGGAAAGGGCAGUGGUCAUUGUUAGUAUUAGCUUUAUUUAAAGUAAGUUCAACAGGAUAAAUUUCUUUCGUAUACAUACUGAAGUCGUCAUUAUUGAGAGCCAAAAUAUCAUCCAAAUAUCUAAAAGUAUUAUUAAAUUUGUGUAUCAGAUGUUGUUUCGAUGGGUCUUUGCUGAUUUUUGUCAUAAAUUGUAACUCAUAGCAAUACAAAAAAAGGUCCGCAAUAAGUGGUGCACAGUUAGUCCCAUAUAUUUUGUAGUUAAUAUUGCAGGUGUUCAACGUAAUUCAGGUCCAAGUGAGUUUUUUCAGCUUAAACAUUUUUUAAGUUGGUGACUGCAGAAAUAGCAGUUUGGGAAGUAUUUUGCAAAAGGGCAGGAGUGUGUAUAGGGCAUUUUACAGCAUUUUUUAAAUUCAUUUAUAUGUGAAAAUGCAUUUGAAUAAAACAGAUUGUUAUGCUAAAUAUUAAUAUUUAUGGAGGUAGUCAUGAUAUAUUGUAUAUUUAUACUACUAACAUAUAUAUAUAUAUAUAUAUAUCACAUUGAACAGCUGGUAAGCCAAUUGCAGCAUUUUAAAAAUAAUUUCUAUGAAGGUCAAAUAUUUGAUAAAAAUGAUAUUCGAUUUU
Mytilus californianus (California mussel) is the source of this 3953-nucleotide long non-coding RNA. RefSeq lists it as uncharacterized. Lineage: Eukaryota; Metazoa; Mollusca; Bivalvia; Mytilida; Mytilidae. The transcript is spliced from 4 exons. The record is from RefSeq and is a predicted model, not a curated record.